This 962-nucleotide long non-coding RNA is filed under the name Homo sapiens (human). RNAcentral describes it as "HSALNT0343710". The record is from RNAcentral. Lineage: Eukaryota; Metazoa; Chordata; Mammalia; Primates; Hominidae.
GAGAAAACAGACAGAACCAGGGAUUACAGGCAUCAGACACCGUGCCCAGCCCUGAAAAAUUGUUUUGAUCUCAUAGAAAUUAUACUCUCCUGUGAGAGACAGACAACAAACAAGAGAGAUUAGUAUAUAAUAUAUUGACAGAAAUAAGUACUAAAAAGAAAAUUAAAGAGAGAAAGGGAGAUAAGAAACAUCAAGAGUAGCAGAAAAUUGAAGUUGUAGACAGGUGGACCAGGGAAGGUUUCACUGAAUAUUUUGACAAACACCCAAAGGAAGUGAGAGAGUUCACCACGUGGAUAUCUGGCGGAAAAACAUUCUAGGCAAAGGGCACAGCCAUGCAAAGCUCAGAGGCAUGAGGAUGUCAGGAUGCUAAGGAGUGGCUGGGGGCCAGUGUUGGGGAGUAGAGAUGAGGUCAGAUGAUAACAGCAGGCCAGAUCAUGCUGUGUUGCAGGUCGUGGUUAAGACACUGGCUUUUUUUCCUGAAAGAGAAUAAGAAAUUCAAGGGUCACAGUGAUAAUUUCCCGUAUGAGGUGAUGGGGGCCUGAACUGGAGUGACAAGAAUGGAACAAAAAGGAAAGGCAGAGGCACAAGAGUGACUGAGAGCACACAGCCCUCUUCCCAGCCCCACACCAGCCUCCACUAAGGUAGAAGUGAACAACCCAACCCAAUGUGACUACUUCAAAAUGUUGUUGUUAUGGAUCAGAGACGAGUAUGAGUCCUAGGAAAACUGCAAAGCAUUGUGUGAGCAUUUCUCAAAUACUUUUCCACUGACUCCUAAGAUCCUACAAAAUGGCAAUGGGUGUUCUGUGGGGAAAUUAUGGGUUCCACAAUCCUCCCAUCCACUCAAAAAAAAAGUAGGAAAUCCUGCAUACCUUAUAUGCUUCGUUGAGCUUCACAGGACCUAUUUGCAUAUUAAAGUCAUUCAGUGUUUUCAAAAUUUAUGGUCAUGAGCUCCUUUUAAUGUA